This is a non-coding RNA of Erinaceus europaeus (western European hedgehog), 46 nucleotides long. NCBI's taxonomy places the organism in Eukaryota, Metazoa, Chordata, Mammalia, Eulipotyphla, Erinaceidae. The record is from Rfam.
AUAUCGGUUUUGUUUAAAACCACACAUAUUUGGUUUUCGGUUUAAU